This 3854-nucleotide long non-coding RNA is filed under the name Equus caballus (horse). RNAcentral's name for it is "lncRNA (ENSECAG00000048873.1)". The record is from RNAcentral. Lineage: Eukaryota; Metazoa; Chordata; Mammalia; Perissodactyla; Equidae.
CCUGAGGCUCUGGGUUAGGGGGGCAGGGCGGGGCCACACCUGAGCAAUGGAAGGAGGCCCUUGUGGCGGAGAGGGGCAAGAGGCGAGGCCAGGCCAGGGCUGGAGGGCAGCAGGAGCCGGGAAAGGCUAUCAGGAGAAGACAGGCCCUGUGGAAUGGGCCAGCCAAGGUGGGAGCUGCGUGGGGAGCCACAUCUCCUGCCCCCAUCCCCCCUGUCCUGAGACCUGGAGGCCUGGAGCCAUCAGCCCGCACAUCGCGCCCGUGAGGAUGGGCUCCUUCUUGAGAAGCCCCCUGAGAGCGUCAGGCAGACCAGGGCCCUGCCCAGCUUGGCACCCUCCUAUUUGUCAUUCAACUGAGAAAGAUAAUGAUGCUGACUACUUAAAAAUCCCCUCUGAGCAGAGCAGGCUGCGUGCAGGCUGUCGGGCUGUGUGCGGUCAGCAUGCACGGAGCCCUACUCAGGGUCCGGUCUAGAGUAAGUCCACAGCACGUUCUCCCCUGGGGCAGUGCCAGGCCAGCAGCUGUGUGAAUACCAGGUGCUCGUCACUGGACCCUGUCGGUCCAGCUGCCAGUGCACCAUCCACUUGAUAAAGACGGCAGGUGGAGUCAGGCUCAGAGAGGCUGGGCAGAGGCAGGCUCUUUCAUGGAGGGAAUCAGGGACCUCUCUCUGAGGAGGUGAUGUUUCAGGAGAGUCCAGAAUGAUGAGGAGGAGCAGAGAGCAGAGUUUCAAAGAUCACCAGGCAGAGGAAGCAGCCAGUGCAAAGGUCCUGAGGCUCAAACAAACUUGGCCUGUUGAUGUGGAGCACAGUGAGGGAAAGGAUGCGGCAGGGAGGGGGUUAGGGCUCAGCUCCUGUGGGGCCUUCCUCCAGGCCAUGGUAAGUAGUUUGGUUUUGUUUGAAGUGGAGAGAAGCCACGGAAGGGCUUAAGCAGAGGAGCGACUCUCUUUCUCUCCUGUUUUAUUCCUUUUUUUUCCCUUUCAAAAGGUCCCUCUGGCUGCUGUGUGGAAACUACGUCGGGGUAGGGAGGGCAACAAAGUAGGAGCUGUGGCCGGUAGGUCGUGGUCCAGCUGGAAGAUGGCCAUGCAGCCUGGGGGUGCAGGAAGAAGAGCAGGACUGGCUGCAUCGCUUCGGCUGGUGACGCCGUGUGGAAAAGACCCCACGUUUGUGUGGACGGGGUCCGACAGGAUGCAGACGAAUGGGAAACGAUGCUGGCUUAGGUUGGGGGAUUGUCCUACCCACGCUCAAGAGCAACUGCUGUCAAGAUAGCAAAGGAAUGUUUUUAUACCAUGUUUAUAAUUUUAACAAGCUACAUGUUAAAAUGUAAAGCACAUGUGUAAUGCCCACCCUCUUGACCCCUGUCCCUGUGGGAUGGGGACUGUGCCUGCCCUGCGCCUCCAUGCCCCGUCUGUGUGGCCUGCUUCAUGGCCACCCGGACAGUGCGCACUGUGACAGGUCUCAUGUUCAGAUUACCUCCACCACCCAUCCCUCUCCCAACAAAGUCACAAGGGCUUGUGGGACCACUUCACUACCCCCGUGCCCCUCACAGAGAGCCAGCCGUCCUGUAGCUCAGUUCCAGGGCUCUCUGUUUUCCACAGCAAGGGAAAGGGAGGAAACUGAGAUUUAAUGAGCAUCUACUGGGCACCAGAAUGCAGGGAAAAUAAGGGGCUGAAUUAGAGGGUAAAGUCAGUGGUAAAUUGGUAUUCAGAAAUCAUGUCAUCAAGUCUGACAUAUUCUUGAAAGUGGGCAGCAAAUUUGAAACUGAAUUUCAUGGUGGCCAAAGCAGAUCAGCUUAGAAAACGCAGAGUCGUGAAUAUAUGCAUUCUUCCUUUAUGACAAAGCUGGCAAAGCAGUAGGAAAGGAAGGGCUUUUUAGUAAACAGAGCUGAAUUAUUGAGUGUUUAAAUGGGAGAAAACAAACGUUGACCCCCGUCUGACACCAGACACGAAAGAAUCAAGUGGAUUGGGUUCAGACAAAGCAACACAUCUUUAAAAGAUAAUACGGGUGUAUCAGUCAGGGUUCAAUGAGAGAAGCAGGACCAGUAGGUGGUCAUGUGCGUGCAUGUGUGUGUGCGUGUGUGUGUCUUUAUCACAUGACUUACACAGUUGUGGGGACUGGAGAAGCAAGUCUGAGGUCUUGAAGUCUGCCGGGCAGUUGGUCAGGAAGGAAGACCCAGUGGCUGUGGAGUGUGGCGCAGGGAAUGGCUGAGCCCUUUCCUUUGUAAGGGCCUUCCCACAGAUCGAGUCCGGCCCCUCAGGAUACGCUCCCUUUGCAUUAGCUGACUUGGGGCUUCAGUCACGUCUGCGAAUCCCUUCCCAGUGCUACCGGGCCAGCGUUUGGACAACUGGGGAAGGUGUGAGCGCUCCGUGCUUGCUGCCUCUCUUCUGUCCUCCAGCUCCCAGGAGAGACUAUCCCUUGUCACCCCUGUGGACCCCCCCAACUGAAAGCCUAACUAGAAAGGGUGUUCUGAGGACUGCAGGUCAGCCCAGCCAAGCCAUCACACACAAGAAAAUAGCUUUAUGAUUUUAGGGUGGCCGGAGGUUUUUAAAGCAGGAUAGGAAAAGCACAAACCAUAAAGAGACUGAUAAAUUGUGCUACGUUAAAAUUAAGAAUGUCUGUUCAUCAAAGAUACCAUUAAGAAUAUCCAAAGGCAAGCUAAAGCUGGGAGAAGGUAUUUGCAGCACAUAUAACUGAGCGGGGGCUCAUAUACAGAAUAAAUAAAGAACUUUUACAAAUCAACAAGAAAACACAAACACCCAAAAGGAAAUUGGGCAAGAAACUUGAAUAGGUAUUUCAUAAAAGAAUUAAUCCAUAAAUGGCCAGUAAACACAUGGAAAGGUAUUCAACCUCAUUAGUUAGAGAAACGCAAAUCAAAACCACAAUGAGAUACCACUGGUAGUUUUAGAAUACGUCCAUAAACUCUUAGUACUGCUCUCUUCAGCAGGUGGAACUUAAUUUCCCUCCCCUUGAGUGUGGGCUGGCCUUAUGUGACUCGCUUUGAAUGGCGAGGUUAUGGCAAAGGUGAUGGUGCGUCACGUCUAACACUAGGUCAUAAAAGACGACGUGACCUCUCUCGUUCUUUCUCUGGGAUCACUUCCUGGGGGAAGCCUGAUGCCAUGUCACGAGGGUGUUCAAGCAGCCCCAUGGAGAAGCGCAUGUGGUGAGGAACUGAGGCCUCCCGCUGUCGCAUGAGCGCCCCAUCUUAGAAGCAAAUCCUCCAGCCCCGGGCAAGCCUUCGGAUGACCGCAGCCCUCGCCAACAUCUCGACUGUAACCUCGUGAGAGACUCUCACCAGAGCCGCCAGAUCAGCCACUCCUGACUUCCCGACUCACGGAAACUGAGAUAAUGAAUGUUUGCUGUUCUAGGGUAAUUUGUUAGAUAGCAAUAGGUAACUAAUAUAACACCUUUACUCACCAGAAUGGUUAAUAUUAAAAAGACUGAUAUACCAAGUGUUGAGGAGAAUGUGGAGCAACUGGAGCUCACACACACUGCUGGGGGGAGUGUAAAUUGGGACAACCAUUUUGGAAAACAAUUUGGCAUUAUUUCUAUUUCUAAUAUUUUCUACAUAAUUGAAGGCCUCCACUGCCAGUGACCUAUCCCCAAUGACCCAGCAAUUCCACUUAUAGGAAUAUACCCAACAGAAAUGUGUGUAAAUGUGCACAUCAGGACACAUGCACAGAACAUUCCUAACAGCGUUAUUUGUAACAGCCCCAAGCAGGAAAUGGCCCCUAAAGUCAAUUCACAGUUCUUUCACACAGUGGGAUACUCUGAGCUAUGGAAAUUAAUGAAUUAUGGCUACGUGCAAUAACAUGAAUAGGUCUCAUAAGGGUAACCUUGAAUGAAACAAACCUGACACAAAAGAG